UGGGGUGUCUAGUGAUUAGUGGCUGCCUC
This 29-nucleotide non-coding RNA is filed under the name Rattus norvegicus (Norway rat). Lineage: Eukaryota; Metazoa; Chordata; Mammalia; Rodentia; Muridae. The record is from RNAcentral.